CCUUGCCCCCCUUCUCUUCUGCUCUGAACCUCCACUGGCCCCAUCUCCGUGGCUCCACCGCGGGAUCUGCACGGUUGGAGUCUCUCCGCGCCGCAUACACCCCCUCCUCCCAGCCGUCCACUUGCCCUUUCCGGCGCCCUUGACCAGACCCCUGGGUCUCUGUGGGCUGGCCCCAGGAUGGGGUUGGGCGCCCGGCUUUUCGAUCCCAUAGCGUCCCCCACAGCCCCCUGCUCCAUGAGGCCGAUGCCGGAUUGCCUGUCUGUGCCCCCCAGCCUCAAUCGUGCAUCCCUCCCGACCCCGGGCAGGUGACUGUCGCCUCGCCACCGCCACAUCAGAGAGAACAUGUCUGCACACAAGCCCUCCUGAACCAGCUUGGAAUCCCUCCAAGGACGGACCUGGAGACCAGCCAGGAGCGAGGGUGCUCCUGGGAAGGACGCAUCCAUGGGAAGCAGAGACCGUGGCAGGCUUGCAGGAUGGCCAGGUCUUCCGAGGUUUGAAGAAAAACUGGAAAUCUGGAUUUUUAUGCAGAACGUCCUGAUUUUUAGAACGCUCCGUGAGCCGAAACACACAUCCAAACUGGACGAGCGUCCCCACAAACUGUGGGCUCCUACUUGCGCCCCCUGAUGGAGCCUGGCACACACGUGACCUAGGCAGGCAAGCCCUGCCCAGAGCUCACCCAGACUUUGCACGAACUGUGUACUUACCCAGGUGCAGACCUUGCAGGCACGUGAUGGAGAGAAGUCAUCAGACGUUUACAUACACUCGCUAUCUCCUACGACGUCAUCGUAGUCUGUUAACUUUCCAGCUAAGGAGACCGAGUGUCAUCUCCAAAGUCAAGUAGCUAGCGUGUGGCUGGGCUUGCACCCUGGGCUGCAGACCACAAAGCUAGUGAAUGGCCACCCAAACUGCCUCCCAGGUGCCUGUACUCCCAACUGAAAGCCUGCUGAUUUGCAUCCCUUGCUAAACUCAGCUCCUUGUGCUCAGGGACUGUGUCUCAUCUGUCGCUGCGUCCCCAUCCCCUAGCACAGGGCACAGUGGAACAUAGAAAGUGCUCAAUAAAUACUUGGUUGGGGGGGCUGUCCUCAGGCAAACAGACAAGUGUGCAUAGACAGUCCCUAUGAACCCACGUAGAGUCACCUAACUCUACCAUGCCCAGGAACACCUGGACACUCAGCCUCCCACGGGAACACCCCCUGCCCCCGUCCCCCACCUCCCAGAGCAUCCAACCGAGCUGGGCCUCCCUGAGCCCCCCUGCCAGCCUCGCCCAAAACCUUCACAAAUCGUUUCCUGGAAAUCUCAAGGCGGCUGUGGUGUUCUUUUUCCCUAACUCAGGAGACAACUCAGCAGUUUUGUUUUUCAAAGUCUGGGACUCAUAAACCUGGAAUCCUUUCUUCGUUUUUUCCACUAGAAUUUUCCUUGGCUGGACGCCUCUCCCCAGGGCUUUGGCCAAGAGGUUACGCUCAGCACGCCCUCUGCCGGGCUCGGUCCUCCCAACCCAGUGGGCAGUUGCAGAGGGGGAAAGACGGGACCUGUCUCAGAUGCAAUCACUUUACAGAGGGGGAAACUGAGUCAGGCGGUGGUAAUGGGGUGAGGUUGGGGAAGGUAGACUCCUUCCAAGUAUGUGCCAAUGUGUGCUACAACUAAGUGGCUUUGUGAUUUUAAACUUAACAGAAGACCAUCGGGGAAGGGAAGGGGAAAAAUAGUUUCAGAGAGGGAGGCAAACCUCUAAGAGUCUCUUAAAUGCAGAGAACAAACUGAGAGUUGAUGGGGGGGGGCUGUGGGAGGGGAAAAUGGGUGAUGGGCACUGAGGAGGGCACUUGUGGGACGAGCACUGGGUGUUGUAUGUAAGGGAUGAAUCACGGGAAUCUACCCCCGAAACCAAGAGCACACCGUAUACGAUGUAUGUUAGCCAACCUGACAAUAAGUUAUAUUUAAAAAUAAAAUAAACUAAAAAAAAAAAAGAAGAAGAAGAAGAAGAAAGAGCUUCCAGAGCUCAAACAUGGCAGAAAAAGCUGUCUGCUCUCAUUGGCCUCUGUGUGGGGCAGAAGGCAGAGGUCUAGGAACUUGGUCAGUUUCAACUUUUUCCUUGACUCCCCAUCACAUUUAAUUGGCAAGGAAAUCAAGACACAGAGAGAGGUUGGGGGAAGGAGCAGGAGUGACAUUCUCUGAGCGUCGGCUCUGUGGUAGCUGUGUGGACAAGGUCUCUCUUGCUUAAUUGUCACAGCAGCCUGUGGUAAGUGGACCCAGCUCAGAGGCUGCCUUCUCCAUGGAACCUUCUCUACUGCGUCCAGCAGGGACUAUGCUGCCUCGGGCUGACCUUACGGAUACAUGUGCCAGUUCUCCUCAGAGACCGGAACUCCUGAGAAACAGUGGUGGAGGCACCUUUGAUUCCCCUGUCUGAGCACGUGUGUGUGUGUCCUUCAUACUACUUAGCGGUAUGGUGUAAUGGCAAAAGCCCCGAGACCCUUGGGGCUGCCUUUAGAUUAGAGCUGAGCAAAUUUUGUGUUGGAGUGAGCUCUUGUGUGGCCCCCUUUCUCAAGUCAAGAAAGAGGGGCUUCUCUGCACCUGAAACUAAUAUAAUAUUGUAUGUUAAUUAUACUGAAAGAGAGAGGGAAGAACGGAGAGAGACAGAUGUUCCCUGGAGUCUACUCAGAAAGCUUAAUAUGUGUCUAUGGUAGUUUGAGACGGGGAGACGGGGGAGACUGGCAUCUCACAGCCACCAUAGAAAUCUGAAGGAUGAGAGGGGCGCCUGGGUGGCUCAGUGGGUUAAAACAUCCGACCUCGGCUCAGGUCAUGACCUCACGGUUCGUGAGUUCGAGCCCCGCGUCGGGCUCUGUGCUGACAGCUCGGAGCCUGGAGCCUGCUUCAGAUUCUGGGUCUCCCUUUCUCUCUGCCUCUCUCCUGCUCGGCUGUAUCUCUCUGUCUCAAAAAAAAAAAAAAAAAAAACAUUAAUAAAAGAUUCAAGGGAUGAUAGAUGGGUACCAUCUUAGGCAAACAAGACAAAGGGGAGGGGGCACUGUCAGAUCGGCCUGAAUGCCCCAAGAUGGUUUGUGCAAAGGAUGCUGUUCCCAGGGACUAGAAGUGGGCCAUGCAUUGGAAGAACUGAUGUGAAGGCCUGUUAGGUGUGUCUAACGGGGGGCAUGAGCUGAAGUUAUCUCUGGAUUUUUAGGUCGCAGAAGGAGUGAACAAUGGGAUACAAGGUGGUGCCAUGCCCACAUUAGGGUGAGAGGUCCUCAGAGCUUGUGGGCCAAGUGUCUGAAAAGCCCAUGGAUGUGUCCACACAAGGGUUAGCUUUAAAGCCAUCUUAUGAUAGUGUUGGUCAGGUAAGAGCUCUCCUUUUUUUUUUUUUUAAGUGUUUAUUUAGUUUUGAGAGAGAGAGAGAGAGAGAUACAGAGACAGAGCAUGAGCAGGGGAGGGGCAGAGAGAGAAGGAGACACAGAAUCCGAAGCAGGCUCCAGACUCCAAGCUCCAAGCUGUCAGCACAGAGCCCAAUGCGGGGCUCGAACCCAUGAACCACGAGAUCAUGACCUGAGCCGUAACCAAGAGUCGGACGCUCGACCGAAUGCGCCACCCAGGCGCCCCUCCUGCUCUCCUUUCUUCUGCCUCUCCUCACCUCGCCACUCCCCACCCCUCUAGCCCUGGAGAAGUCAGAAUCACAGUUAGCAAAGUGGGGAAAAGAACAGCUGUCCACGCCCCUGUCCCCAGCUAUAACAGUCCUACCUGCAGCAAGCCCUGUUGGAACAAAAGGUGGAAUUAAAAAAACAUUUUUUUUAAUGUUUAUUUAUGUUUGAAGGAGAGAGAGACAGAGCAUGGGUGGGGGGAGGGGCAGAGAGAGACGGAGACACAGAAUCUGAAGCAGGCUCCAGGCUCUGAGCUGUCAGCACAGAGUGCGACGCGGGGCUCGAACUCACGGACCUCGAGAUCAUGACCUGAGCCGAAGUCGGACGCUUAACCGACUGAGCCACCCAGGCGCCCCUAAAAGGCAGCAUUUUAAAUCAAAUUUGGGAUUUUGCUUUUGUCUGGGACUGAGCAUCUCAUUUAGGAAUAGCGUUUGUUUGGUGAUUGAAGUGGUCACCGGACUUUUCAUUUCCUGGGAGUGGCAGACAGGUUGGAGGAUGCUUGAAGUCUCAUUGAGGGGCAGAGAAAGGGCGACCCUCCUUUGGGGGGCUGGGAAAUGAAAUUAAGUUGAUUUAUGAUUAUACACUGUGAGUCUUACUCAAUGGAUUGAUUCUCUUUGCUAUUGUAAAGUGGGAUGUCUUCUUCGGUGAUAUUUUUCUACUCACCAGCGUUUGCUUCUAUCACUUCUUCCAAAGCAGUUAAGUCCCCGUGCUCCCCCUAGAUAAAGUCACUUAACGGGCACUAAACGUUGAGCUGGGCUUCAGGCUUCAGAUUCCUACCUUGAGGGAGAUUUUAAGGAGCCUCAUGUCCACAGGCCAACAGACUCGGUAUCUAUUUUCCUUUGCUGCACGUUCCUGUAUGACAAUCAAAUUCUGAUUCUCCUGUUCUACUAAAUGUAACAGCCUUCAGUUUAUAUCUGCCCUGUGCCAGGUCUUGUGCUUCGGGAUACAGAGAGGAGCCCCGGUCCUCAAGGAGCUCACAUAGCAAUGACAGGACACGGAUAAGCCAUCAGGACACUCGGUGUGUGGUGAGAGUUCCAGCAUAGGUGUGCUCACAGAGGGUGGCUUACUGGAGGUUUCACCAAGUCUAUCCUUUUUUUUUUUUUUUUUAAAUUUUUUAACGUUUAUUUAUUUUUUGAGACAGAGAGAGACAGAGCAUGAGCGGGGCAGGGGCAGAGAGAGAGGGAGACCCAGAAUCCGAAGCGGGCUCCAGGCUCCGAGCUGUCAGCACAGAGUCCGAUGCGGGGCUCGAACUCACGGACCGUGAGAUCAUGACCUGAGCUGAAGUCCGAUGCUUAACCAAAUGAGCCACCCAGGCGCCCCUUGCCAAGUCUAACCUUUGAUGCUGCCACAAUGCUUGGCCUGUGGUAGACACUCUGAAUCAGACAAUUCGACACUUCUCAUCCGCACGCAGAUGGUCGUUACGUAAUGGCAGUCGCCGGCUCUGUGUGCGUAACAGUAUCAUAAGCAUUUUCCAGGUUCCUACCUGUCUUCAGAAUGAUUCUCUUUCAGAGGCGACCUACCAUUUCAUAGAAUGUGUAUGCCAUCAUUUAUGUAAUCGUUUCUCCCUUUCUAGGACAUCACUUUGUAUGUCAUGUAGCUCUAUCGU
Long non-coding RNA from Acinonyx jubatus (cheetah), 5226 nucleotides. RefSeq lists it as uncharacterized. The transcript has 3 exons. The record is from RefSeq and is a predicted model, not a curated record. Lineage: Eukaryota; Metazoa; Chordata; Mammalia; Carnivora; Felidae.